This 497-nucleotide ribosomal RNA is filed under the name uncultured bacterium. RNAcentral describes it as "partial 16S ribosomal RNA". It matches the Rfam family "Bacterial small subunit ribosomal RNA", at positions 28 to 507 of the family's 1533-position model. The record is from RNAcentral.
GAUGAACGCUGGCGGCGUGCCUAAUACAUGCAAGUCGAGCGAACAGACGAGGAGCUUGCUCCUCUGAUGUUAGCGGCGGACGGGUGAGUAACACGUGGAUAACCUACCUAUAAGACUGGGAUAACUUCGGGAAACCGGAGCUAAUACCGGAUAACAUGUUGAACCGCAUGGUUCAACAGUGAAAGACGGUCUUGCUGUCACUUAUAGAUGGAUCCGCGCCGCAUUAGCUAGUUGGUAAGGUAACGGCUUACCAAGGCAACGAUGCGUAGCCGACCUGAGAGGGUGAUCGGCCACACUGGAACUGAGACACGGUCCAGACUCCUACGGGAGGCAGCAGUAGGGAAUCUUCCGCAAUGGGCGAAAGCCUGACGGAGCAACGCCGCGUGAGUGAAGAAGGUCUUCGGAUCGUAAAACUCUGUUAUUAGGGAAGAACAAAUGUGUAAGUAACUAUGCACGUCUUGACGGUACCUAAUCAGAAAGCCACGACUAACUACGUG